CUUGGCCUAAAACCAGAGAGAUUUGAAUGUUGUCAAUGAGAAAAGAAGUGCGUCAGACCUGAAGAUCACUUGAAUAUUUGUCAGCGCACGUCUGACAGGGAUUGCGCCUGGAAUGAGAGCUCUGUCUCACAGGAGGCUUCAGGGAUAAAACGCUGGGCAGUGGCUUCAAGCCUUUGCUGCGCUUUGCAGCCCUGGGAGCUAGUGCACUCACGGUGGCACGUAACGCCAUCCUCGGAAGCUGGCAGGACAUCCUGAAAAAGACGUUCCUCACCUCGGGCAAUGAGACAGCCAAAUGUUCCUGCUCACACUUGUCCUUGGAGGCUUUCUUUGGUGUCCAUCCGCUGGAAGCUGGCCGUAGGCAUGAGCAUUCUGAGCGUCUGACCCAGCCCAUCCCACAAAUCUUCUCACCAUCGCAUCUCCCAGGCCACCUUGGGGACACCUUCCUGCACCGCCACCCAGACCACCACCUCCCUCUUCCAUAUCACGCAGAUGGCGGUGGCAGCCGGUGGCAAGAAGAGGUGGAAUCUGCUCAGCAGCACGGGGAGCAGUCGGGAAGGCACGUUGUGUGUUUUUUUCUCUCUGCUCUACUCGUGCUGUAUGCUGUUUCCAGAGUCAAACAAUUUUGCUGCCUUUUGCCAAUAUACUGUCUAGUAGGAGACCAUCAAACCUACAGUUAUGCUGCAGCAAAGCAUACAGAAAGCCUAAGGCCAAGAGCUUCAAAUCUGAAACCCACACUUUGGCUCAUGGCAUAACUAUAUGCGUAAAAAUGGGAGGAUCCCGAUUCCUCACUCCACUCCAGUGGUUUUGUGCUAGUUUAACGCUCAAUUUCCGUGUAAUGAGGCUGUAAUAAAAGCAGUAUAACGGAGUAGAGCGGCA
RNAcentral lists this long non-coding RNA (876 nucleotides) under Anser brachyrhynchus (Pink-footed goose). Its description in RNAcentral is "lncRNA (ENSABRG00000010760.1)". Lineage: Eukaryota; Metazoa; Chordata; Aves; Anseriformes; Anatidae. The record is from RNAcentral.